This 2957-nucleotide ribosomal RNA is filed under the name Ziziphus jujuba (common jujube). RNAcentral describes it as "bacterial LSU rRNA". The stretch from base 1085 to 2957 matches the Rfam family "Bacterial large subunit ribosomal RNA". The record is from RNAcentral. Lineage: Eukaryota; Viridiplantae; Streptophyta; Magnoliopsida; Rosales; Rhamnaceae.
CUCAAAAAUCUAGAGAAAUAAUUUGUUUUAAGUGCCAAGGAAGAGGACACAUAUCUAGCCAAUGCCCAAAUAGAAUCAUGGUAUUAAAGGGUGAUGGUGAGCUGGAAUCCGCAAGUGAAGAAAGUGGAGCUGAAACCGAGCAAGAGGAGGGUUGUAAUGAAGAUGCAACCGAACCUGUAGAUACAUCUAAUGCCGAGUUGAGCUUGGUUUCAAGGAGAGUACUUGCUGUCUACAAAGAUGAAGAGCAGAUACAAAGAGAAAACAUCUUCCACACUCGCUGCGAAAUACAAGGUAAAAUUUGUAGCAUGAUUAUAGAUAGUGGGAGUUGUACUAAUGUGAUAAGUAAUCUUGUAGUUGAUAAAUUAGGCUUGAAAACAAUUAAGCAUCCAGAACCUUAUAGAUUACAAUGGCUUAAUGAUAGUGGUGAGAUGAAAGUAAACAAACAAGCCAAAGUAAAAUUUAAUAUAGGUAGAUAAUUUGUGCAUGGCAUGACAAAUUGGCUGGUUUUGGUAUAUUACCCACUGCUUUACUGUAUUUUGCUGAGUUGGAUUUGUCUCUUUCCUCUAAGCAAGGCAACGUGUGGGACUCCAUAGAAAUCCUAUUUGGCAUCCUAAAAGGCAUAUGGAAGCUAAUUUGGAGCUUAAAUUGGUCAAAGAUUUUUCAAAGUCAACUUAGUAAAAAAGACAGUAUUUUAGUUUCCUAAUUUGAUUUCUACUUUUUGUUUUAGGAAAUUACCAUUACUUUUUGGUUUUAUUUAUGUAUUUGCUGGAUAAAUAAGUUUAGGAAAGUUAUUAUUUUUAUUAUUUCUUUUUAAAUUAAUUAAUUCCGAAUUCAAAAUAAAGGAAUUAAUUAAUCAAAAUUAGAUUAGGAAAGGAGAGAGAAAAUUCGGUCAUAUUAGGAAACAACAAGCAUGGCCUAUAUUCCCUUUAGUUUUUAGGGUUUUAUUUUGUUUUCUCUUAGCCUAUUUAAGGGCUUAUUUUUUAGGAAGAACACACCUUUAGUAAUAUUCAUAAUUUAUUUGCGAGAUUGAAUUCUCUUUGUUCUCUUUGAACAUCUAAAACACCAUUAGCGAAUAAGUGUUUUAGUUUGACUUAUCAAUAGUAUAUCCAUCACCUAUUGUGGUGUUUUCAUUAUACCAAGGUUUCUAAUCACAGGUUGGUUAGGGGUUAAGGUGACAAUUAGAACUUGAACAUAAUUAGAUCCGGGCUUAUAUAGUACUAGUUUAGGUGCAGGUUGUCCUAGGUUCGUAUCCGGUGAGUCAAGGCCUAAGAUCUAGCCGAAAAGCAUAGUCGAUGGACAAGAUGUGAAUAUUUUAUACUACCCCUUAUUGGUCCCAAAGAACAGAGGAGGCUAGGUUAGCCAAAAGAUGUUAUCGAUUCAAGGAUGUAAGGUGCCCCUGCUUUUUCAAGGUCAGAAGGGGUAGAGAAAAUGCCCUGAGCCAAUGUUCGAGUACCAAGCACUACGGCGCUGAAGUAACCCAUGCCAUACUCUCAGGAAAAGCUAAAAUGACCUUCGACAAAAGGGUACCUGCACCUGAAACUGACAUAGGUGGGCAGGUAGAGAAUACCUAGGGGUGCAAGACAACUCUCUCUAAGGAACUCAUAAAUAGCCUCAUAACUUCAAGAGAAGGGGUGGCUCCGCACAAAGGGGGUCACAAUGACCAGGCCCGGGUGACUGUUUUCCAAAAACACAGUUCUCCGUAAAGUCAUAAUACCAUGUAUGGAGGCUGACGCCUGCGUAGUGCCGAAAGGUUGAGGAAGUUGGUGACUUGAUGACAUGGGAGCUGGCGACCGAAGCCCUGGUGAACAGGGGUUGUAACUAUAAUGAUCUUAAGGUAGUGAAAUACUUUGUUGGGUAAGUUUCAACCCGCACGAAAGACGUAAUGAUCUGGGCACUGUCUUAAAGAGAGGCUCGGUGAAAUAGACAUGUCUAUGAAGAUGCAGACUACCUGUGCUUGGAUAGAAAUACCCUAUAAAGCUUCACUGUUCCCUGGGAUUGGCUUUGGGCCUUUCCUGCGCAGCUUAGGUGGAGGGCAAAGAAAGCCUCUUUCUAAAGGGGCCUGAGCCAUCAGUGAGAUACCACUCUAGAAGAGCUAGAAUUCAAACCUUGUGUCAGGACCUAUGGGCCAAGGAACAGUCUCAGGUAGACAGUUUCUAUGGGGCAUAGGCCUCCUAAAAGGUAACAGGGGCAUUCAAAGAUUUCUCGGGCCAGACGGAGAUUGGCCCUCGAGUGCAAAAGGGGAAGGGAGCUUAACUGCAAGACCCACCCAUCAAGUAGGGAUGAAAGUCAGCCUUAGUGAUCCAAUAGUGUCGAGUGGAAGGAUCGUUGUUCAACAGAUAAAAGUUACUCUAGGGAUAACAGGCUGAUUUUCCCCAAGAGCUCACAUCGACGGGAAGGUUUGAACCUUGAACGAAGCCUUUACCCCACCCAAGAGCUCACAUCGACGGGAAGGUUUGGCACUUCGAUGUCGGCUUUUCGCCACCUGGGGCUGUAGUAUGUUCCAAGGGUUGGGUUGUUCGCCCAUGAAAAUGGUACGUGAGAUGGGUUCAAAAUGUCAUGAGACAAUUCGGUCUAUAUCUGGUGUGGGCAUUAGAGCAUUGGGAGGAUCCUUCCCUAGUACGAGCGGACCGGGAAGGAUGUACCUCUGGUGUAAUAGUUAUUGUGCCCACCGUAAACACCAGGUAGCCAAGUGCAGAGUGGAUAACUGCUAAAAGCAUUUAAGUAGUAAGCCCACCCCCAGAUGAGUGCUCUCCUAUUUUGACUUCCCUAGAGCUUCCGGUAGCACAGCUAAGACAGCGAUGGGUUUUUUGCCCCUGAGGGGGUGAAGUGACCGAAGUUUUGAAAAUUCAAAAGAAGAUCACGAAGAGACGAGUCGUUUAUCAUUAUGAUAGGUGUCAAGUGGAAGUGCAGUGAUGUAUGCAGCUGAGGCAUCCUAAUAGACCAGUAGACUUGAGCCU